This 245-nucleotide ribosomal RNA is filed under the name uncultured bacterium. Its description in RNAcentral is "partial 16S ribosomal RNA". It matches the Rfam family "Bacterial small subunit ribosomal RNA", at positions 15 to 239 of the family's 1533-position model. The record is from RNAcentral.
GAUCCUGGCUCAGGACGAACGCUGGCGGCGUGCCUAACACAUGCAAGUCGAACGGAACUGUUUUGAAAGAUUUCUUCGGAAUGAAUUUGAUUUAGUUUAGUGGCGGACGGGUGAGUAACGCGUGAGUAACCUGCCUUCAAGAGGGGGGAUAACAUUCUGAAAAGAAUGCUAAUACCGCAUGACAUAUCGGAACCACAUGGUUCUGAUAUCAAAGAUUUUAUCGCUUGAAGAUGGACUCGCGUCCG